This 253-nucleotide ribosomal RNA is filed under the name uncultured bacterium. RNAcentral's name for it is "partial 16S ribosomal RNA". It matches the Rfam family "Bacterial small subunit ribosomal RNA", at positions 524 to 776 of the family's 1533-position model. The record is from RNAcentral.
UACGGGGGGGGCAAGCGUUGUUCGGAAUUACUGGGCGUAAAGGGCUCGUAGGCGGCCAACUAAGUCAUACGUGAAAUCCCUCAGCUUAACUGGGGAACUGCGUGUGAUACUGGAUGGCUUGGAUUUGGGAGAGGGAUGCGGAAUUCCAGGUGCAGCGGUGAAAUGCGUAGAUAUCUGGAGGAACACCGGUGGCGAAGGCGGCAUCCUGGACCAAUAUUGACGCUGAGGAGCGAAAGCCUGGGGAGCAAACGGG